AUAUAUAUAUAUAUAUAUAAGUCCGGCUACUAUACUAUCGAUAGUACCAAACCCUUGUUACUAUUGAGUUUUCUACCGUUAGAUCGACCCUUUGAUCAUUUCCACCUGUUAGAUUAUACUAUUAAACCAACCACCCACUCAACCCUAGGGAACCGCUAUCAAUUUAACUGGAGACCACUAUUAUUCUAACCGCACAUCUUUUAAUCCAAGGGCCGAAAAUUCAGUAGUACCAAAGGCUUGAUACUAUUGAUAGUAUAGUAGCAUAAUUUUAUAUAUAUAAUGUAUUUUAAUUAUAUAUAGGCUUUAAUUUAAUUUGGACCAUUAUUGUUGGCCCAUAAAAUAAACCCAACAAGUACAACCGUGCAAUUGAGCCCAACUCUAAAUUUACAUAACACACUCUCUUUCAGACUUUCACUGUUGCACAUAACCCUAAAAUAUGAUAACAUUCAAAUUCCCAAAUCUCUAAUAUUUUCCGCCCCCUCUCUCUCUCUCUCUCAGACCCUCACCCAGUCAGACAGUCACCCUAUCUCACAUUUCUUGCAAUUAUUUUGUAUUUUGAACUAUUGGACAUAUUGCAUCAAAUUGUAGGUAAUGUUCUAUAAAAUUUAAACUAUUGAUUAUAUAAUGUCGAGAAUUUCAAUCGGCUCGUUUAGAGCUCGAGCUCGGCUCGACUCGAAAUUAGGCUCGCUCGAGCUCGGCUCGAAUUAAUUUCAAACCGAGCUUGAGCCUAGAUUUAGGCUCGAAAUUAAUUUCAAGCCGAAUUUGAGCCGACAUAAGCUCGCUCGAGCUCGGCUCGUUUCCACCCCUACUGAAGAAGGAGAAGUAAUAAUAACUGAACAAGGAGAAGAAGGCGGAUCUUCGGAGGAGAUGCGGGAACAAAUUAUUAACCCGAAACACUAGACUUCCACAGCUUUGCAGAACUUCCCUUUGAAAUAAGUCGUCACUUAAUUUCUUUCUUAUUAAGGUAUCCGCCUUAGUUCUGUUCUUUCCCCCUCCUCUUUCGGCCCUCUUUU
RNAcentral lists this long non-coding RNA (1013 nucleotides) under Ananas comosus (pineapple). Its description in RNAcentral is "long non-coding RNA (ACOM_LNC023839)". The record is from RNAcentral. Lineage: Eukaryota; Viridiplantae; Streptophyta; Magnoliopsida; Poales; Bromeliaceae.